UAAUUUCAUACAGGUCCCUAUAAAUAUAGUGAAUUGCAAAUAUAUCUCUAUAUGGUUCAACUUUCAUUUGCUGUCUCUAUAAAAAUAUUGAUAUUUUCAAAUAUAUAACUGUUGUUCAAAUCCGUAAGAAAAAAUUAGCUAACUAUAAGUAAAAUACUUAACCCUAAUUAGUUAAUGAUAUGAGUUGAUUUUUUUACCUCUUUUCAAUUAAUAGCUGGGACUUUUGGAGGAACAUAUUUGUGAUGAAAAAAAAUAUCAUUUUACUUAUAAAAUAAAUAGUAUUUUAACGGUAACAAACUAGAGCAAUAUAUUUGAAAAUAUUAGGACUUUUGUAGGACCAACAUACGAAAGUUUAAUUUUGUAGGAAUAUAUUUACAAUUCAGAUGUUUGCAGGGAUCCGUAUGAAAUUAACCCUUUAUUAUAUGUGGUCAAACUGUCAAAGGGACCCAGAGUAGGGUUGUCAAUGGGUAUGGAUACCCGAAAUAUUAUCCGACCCGAACCCAAUGGGGCGGGUUUACUCGAGCUAAACGGGUAUGGAUUCAGUUAUGGGUAUAGAAAAUAAAAACCCGACGGAUAUGGAUAUGGAUAUGGAUUUUGUAUUUAUCCGACCUGAACCUGAACCCGAAUAAAUUAUAUAUAUACAUACUUUAUUUUUUUUUAUUUAUAUAAUAUAUAAAAUAUUUAAUAAUUUUUAUCUUUUAGAUCUUCAUUCAACGGUAUGGAUUUUUAAAACCCGCCAAGUCCGGAUUCGGGUUCGGGUUUGGAUUUCGGGUUUUUGGUAGGGUACGGAUAUGGGUAUGAAUUUUUAAAACUCGUUGCGUUCAGGUCCAGGUGUAGGUUUUAAUUUGGUUUUCGAAUUCGGGUUCGGGUUUUUAAAAAUCCGACCCGUUGACAUCUCUAACCCAUAGAUCAUUAGUAAUGUAUUUAUUGGUUUUUCUUUUUAAUUUUAAUCGGUGUUUAGGCAUAUUUGUUUCAAACUAUUUGAAUGGAGAAUUGGAUUCUCCAUAUUUUUUUACUGUUUUAAUAAACAACCUCUAUUGUCAAAUCAUUACUUUAUAUAUUAAUAGGUUAAUUGCAUACAACUCUUUAUAAAUAUACUGAAUAACAAAUAUAUUCUUAUAAAGUUCAACUUUUCAUUUUUAUCUUUAUAAAAAUCUAGUAAUAUUCAUAUAUGCCCUCCUGAUUUGUUAUCGUUAAGCACGAUUUAUUUUUUAACAGCAGAUAAGUAAAAUAAUAUUUUUAUCCUUAUAAAUAUAUUUCUCCAAAUGUCCAUUAUGCAGAAAUAUUCUGCUAAGAAAAUAUUUUACCCAAUAAUACAAGAGGAGUAAAACGGUAAAUUUACCUCAUCCACUAACCAGGAUUAUGUAUUUUAUUUAUGAUUAACUAUAUUUUUCUGACAAAUUCUUACAGUAGUGGUAUAUUUAAAAAAGGCAGAACUUUUGCAUAAAUAAAAAUAAAAAGUUAAAUUUUAUAAGAAUACUUAGAUAUGUUUAUAAUUAACUCUAUAUUAAUUGCCGAUAAGUUUACUGUAACAAAAAAUUACAUAAAAUCAAAAUUUUUCUUUACAGAAAAAUUAAAGUCCCAUAAAUUUUAAAUCUCAUGCGAGCUAUUCUCAUUCGCAUACAUGAAGUUCUAAGCUCACAUAUUUUUCAAAAUUAUUUAUUAAUUUUGUUUAUUUUAAUUAAAGGGUAAAUUUUAAAUAUCAUCAUUAUCGUUUCGCACUUUUUUACUUUAAUAACUUAUAAUUUAACGUAUAUCAAUUUAGUACAUGCGGUUUUAUUUUUCUAUUUUCGUCAGCUCUCUGUUAAUUUUUUAUUAAAUCAUAUAUAAAAAAAAUUUAGAUACCCAUCUAUAGUUUAUCGAAUAUUUAUUUUAGUAUCUUUAAUUUUAAUCUCGUCACUAAUUAAAAAAAUAAAAAAUAAAAAAAAUCAUAAAAUACGAAAAUAAUAUAUUUAAAUUAUAGGGUACCAAAAUGAAAAAAGUAUGAAACGACAGGGUGGUAUUUGAAAAUUUUCCUUAAUUAAAAGAGAAAGGCAAAUUUCCUACACCAUCCGUUACAACUUUAUGCAACACCCGUUACGUUUCUAAAACUGGAAUUAGCCUCUUUACUCGAGGGCAUUUUCGUAAUUUCGUAUGCCCCUCUCUCUCUCUAUCCACUGAACCCUCUCUCUCUCUCUCUCUCUCUCUCUCUCUCUCUGCCACUACACUGUUCGCUUCUGUUCUUCUCUCUUUAAAGCUGCGUUACCUUUUUCCCCCUCUCCACUUCUCUAAACCCUAUAAUCGAUUUGUGUGUGUGUGUGUGUGUCUCUCUCUCUCUCUCUCUCCUCGUCUUCGAGGAUGGCUAGGGUUUCAUCUGCGCCCUCUCCGAGCUCCUCCUCGCAGCCCCGCGAGCGCCCGUGGAGCCUCCUCUGAUGAGCGAUCGCCCGGGCUCUCUUUCGCCCGAGAGAGCCGUCGAAAGCGCCGUUCUCGCGACGUAGCCGGUAAGAUCAGAUCAGAUAAGAUCCUACCCUUCUCUUCUCGAUCUUGCCUUACCCCGUUGAUCCGAGCUCGAAAGCUCGGUUCUUGGUCGAAUUUGGGUGAUUCUUUUCCUCUUUGCCCUAAAUCUCGUGUAAAGCGGGGGGUUUUUGAUCCGAUUAGGAGGUUUUUAGAAAGAUUAGUGUUUGAUUUGGGCGUGGUUAAGCUCCUUUUUUGCGCGGUGGUUUGCUUUGAUUAGCUUCUUUUGCGGAGGGGACGAGGAGGGGGGGUUCUGUUAAGGGGGGAAAAAAGGGGGCCUCUUUUUGCCUUUUUUUAAGCUUGUUUAAGGAAGCUUAUUUGAGGCCUUUAAAGCCAGCAACCUGGAAUAUGGUUCUCUUCUUUCAUUGGAAUCUUGUGGUCAAGUUAUUCUCGUCC
This 2889-nucleotide long non-coding RNA is filed under the name Ananas comosus (pineapple). RNAcentral's name for it is "long non-coding RNA (ACOM_LNC035607)". The record is from RNAcentral. Lineage: Eukaryota; Viridiplantae; Streptophyta; Magnoliopsida; Poales; Bromeliaceae.